CAGCCGCCGCGGUAAUACGAAGGGUGCAAGCGUUAAUCGGAAUUACUGGGCGUAAAGCGUGCGUAGGCGGUGAGUUAAGUCUGCUGUGAAAUCCCCGGGCUCAACCUGGGAAUGGCAGUGGAUACUGGCUCGCUAGAGUGUGUCAGAGGAUGGUGGAAUUCCGCGUGUAGCAGUGAAAUGCGUAGAUAUGCGGAGGAACACCGAUGGCGAAGGCAAUCCCCUGGACCUGUACUGACGCUCAUGCACGAAAGCGUGGGGAGCAAACAGGAUUAGAUACCCCUGUAGUCCCUGUCUCUUAUAC
RNAcentral lists this ribosomal RNA (301 nucleotides) under uncultured bacterium. RNAcentral's name for it is "partial 16S ribosomal RNA". It matches the Rfam family "Bacterial small subunit ribosomal RNA", at positions 509 to 807 of the family's 1533-position model. The record is from RNAcentral.